RNAcentral lists this ribosomal RNA (447 nucleotides) under uncultured soil bacterium. Its description in RNAcentral is "bacterial SSU rRNA". It matches the Rfam family "Bacterial small subunit ribosomal RNA", at positions 26 to 518 of the family's 1533-position model. The record is from RNAcentral.
AGAACGAACGCUGGCGGCAGGCUUAACACAUGCAAGUCGAACGGUUGUAGCAAUACAGCAGUGGCAGACGGGUGAGUAACACGUGGGAACCUUCCUAGGGGUACGGAACAACUCAGGGAAACUUGAGCUAAUACCGUAUACGUCCGUGAGGAGAAAGAUUUAUCGCCCCUAGACGGGCCCGCGUAGGAUUAGGUAGUUGGUGAGGUAACGGCUCACCAAGCCUACGAUCCUUAGCUGAUCUGAGAGGAUGAUCAGCCACACUGGGACUGAGACACGGCCCAGACUCCUACGGGAGGCAGCAGUGGGGAAUCUUGGACAAUGGGCGCAAGCCUGAUCCAGCCAUGCCGCGUGAGUGAAGAAGGCCUUCGGGUUGUAAAGCUCUUUACCAGGGACGAUAAUGACGGUACCUGGAGAAUAACGCCCGGACAACUUCGCGCCAGCAGCCGC